Non-coding RNA from Oreochromis niloticus (Nile tilapia), 571 nucleotides. The record is from the annotation of a RefSeq genome assembly. Lineage: Eukaryota; Metazoa; Chordata; Actinopteri; Cichliformes; Cichlidae.
UUGCUGUAGCUCACAGUUACUCUACACUGCAGAUAUGACGCCUCUGUUCAUCUCAGUGCUGCUGGCUGCUAUGUGCCUCGAAUGCAGAGCACAAAAAGACAACGUGCUGCAAACAAAAGGAGAAGAGACUGCUGCUGCAGGAGGCACAGUAACACUUCACUGUCUCUAUAACAGCAGCACAACAACAGCUCCUUCUCUCUUCUGGUACAAACAGGAUGGAAACAACAGACCCAAAUUCAUCCUGAGUCGUGUUAGCAGGGAUGAUGGAAACACAGCAGAUGAGUUCAAGGAGAGAUUUUCAUCCACACUGGAUUCCAGCAUCAGAUCAGUUCCUCUGAAGAUCCAGAAGCUUCAGCUGUCUGACUCUGCUGUGUACUACUGUGCUCUGCAGCCCACAGUGACAGGAAACACCAAAACUCUGUACAAAAACCUUUGGAGCAAAGACAACAGAAUACUCCACAACAUCCACUAGAGGGAGCCACAUGCUGUUAAACUUCUCUGGUUUGUUUCAUUCAGUUUCAUUUGGCAACAGUGGGAAGGAAAAACUCCCUUUUUUACAUGAAGAAACCUC